GUUGGCUAGAAAAUACUAGAAAUUGAAUUUUGCAGACUUUUGAUCUGAAUCCGUAAAGGAGAUGGUCUCCGGUGAGAUAUCACUGAUUUCGAAAUGGGAAUAGUAUAUUUCCAUUUCCUUGAAAUUCUCAACCCUCCGAAGAGAUAGGAGGUAAGUGUUUAUAGUAGCAUUUUCUUGCGUUGUUUCUCGAUUUAAACUAUAUUUUCAUUUCAUUUAUUUGUUAUCUAAUCAGUUGUAUCUGGGUUUUAAUGGGAAAUCGAAUCCAUUACAUCAUACUUUACAAGUUUAUGUGCCGUUGAUUUUCAGUGGUUCUGAAAUUGUUACUAGCAUCUACAACUGAAAAUGGCUUGCUAAAUAAAACAGUAAUCGUAUAAUGAAUCUCUAUCAAUUUUUUAAUACUUUAUGUGCAACUGGUUCAUGCAAGCACCACAGGUUUUUAACCUGAAAUUAUUUGGUUCCUUCUAGAUCUUACAAAGCUGGGCAGCUUCAAGCAAGAUCCCGCAUCCAAGUUGAUUUGAAAUUAUGGUGUCAAACAAUUGAAAAUACUUUUUUGUUUUUUUUUGUCUUCAAGCAUGAAAUAACCACAGACAGUCCUUUGUGGAUGAAAUUUUGAUGACAUUAUAUAGCAAGGAGAGAGAAUUAUUUGUCAUAAAUAGGGAAAUAUGGAGUGUAAUAAAGAUGAAGCAAUCAGGGCGAAAGAAAUUGCUGAGACGAAGUUUACAGAAAGAGAUUUUGCUGGGGCAAAGAAAUUUGCUUUGAAGGCCCAAAACUUGUAUCCUGAGCUUGACGGUCUAUCUCAAAUGCUGGUGACAUUUGAUGUGCAUGCGUCUGCUGAGAAAAGAACAGUUACUGUCGAAGUUGAUUGGUAUUGUGUGCUUGGUGUAAACCCCUGGGCUGAUUAUGAGACAGUCAGGAAACAGUACCAAAAACUGGCCCUCAUGCUUCACCCUGAUAAAAACAAAGCGUUGGGUGCAGAUGGUGCAUUUAAGCUUGUGUCAGAUGCAUGGAGUAUAUUAUCUGAUAAGUCAAAGAGCUUAGCAUACAAUGAGAAAUUAAAUGUUGUAGGACAUCAACAGAGAGUUUCAACAGAGACUAAGUUUCCCUCAACAUCACCUACUGCUAAUGGCUUUCAUAAUUGUGACAGUGCUGUGAAUUUAGAUGCGAGGACUCAGAACAAGAAUACUUGGGCAGGUCCAACCUUGGUUCCACCUCCUCCUUAUAAAAGACCUGAUACUUUUUGGACUAUAUGCAACAGAUGUAAGACACAGUAUGAGUAUCUGAGGAUUUAUCUAAAUCACACCCUCCUAUGCCCAAAUUGUCAUGAAGCUUUUUUUGCUGUAGAGAAGGCUCCACCUCCAAGCGUUAUGAAGCCAUCCAAUUAUUCUUCUCGCCAAAAGCAUCAGAAUUCAAGACAUCGUGCUACAAAUAGUACACCGUGUAAUGUUGGAAGAAAUUGUGGAGUUGCUCAAAGUUCUAGACCUGCUCAAAGUUUUGGACCUGACGGGUUUGGAGUAAAUUCAUCCAACAGCCCAGAUAUCCAGGGGAAUCAUUUUUCCAGGAUGGCUGCUACCAGGGCUACGGUUGCAUCACUGUCUACUUCUGCUCAAGCUGCAAGCAUGGUUGAGCAGUCACAUCAGCAUGUGAAGAGAGAGCCUCAGGAAGUAAAGGCUGACCAAAUCUUUAAAAGGAGAAGAUCUAUUGAAACUUAUAUGAAUUCUUAUGGAGCUGGGAGUGGAAGAUCAGGCUUGGGGAGUGCAUCUGAACAAAAAAGGGACUAUGUUGGGAUGGAAAGGACCUAUGGCUUUCCUAGUACUAACAAUAAGCCCAACAGCAAGAGAGAGUUGCUACCUGUUGAGCUCCGAAACAUGUUGAUGGAGAAGGCAAGGUUAGAUAUUUGUAAAAAGCUUAAAGAGUGGAGCUCAAAUGAAGUAAAACUGAAACAAGGCAAAAAGCAUAUAAGCAUGGUAGGGAAUGAUACAAAUAAUCAGAAGCAUGAUAACUAUGCUAUUAUGGAUAAUGGAAACCAAAGCAAGAAGUUUUUCCGUGUUUUUUCUUCUGAUGAUUCCAUUAAAAAUGCCCCGGCACCAAUGGCAAUUAAUGUACCAGACCCUGAUUUUCACAAUUUUGAUUCGGAUCGAACUGAAAGUGCUUUUAGAGAUGACCAGGUUUGGGCUGCCUAUGAUGAAGAUGAUGGAAUGCCUCGUUACUAUGCUCGAGUUCACAAGGUUAUCUCCUUGAAACCAUGCAAGAUGAGCAUUAGUUGGCUCAACUCAAGGAGCAACCGCGAAUUUAGCUCUGUAGACUGGGUAGGUUCUGGUUUCCCCAAGACUUGUGGGGAUUUCAGGGCUGGCAAACAUGAGAUCAGUGAAACAUUAAAUUCUUUCUCUCACAAGGUUAAAUGGACAAAAGGCACUCGUGGGGCCAUUUGCAUACUUCCAGGAAAGGGAGACGUUUGGGAUCUUUAUAGGAACUGGUCCCCAGACUGGGAUGAGCAUACUCCAGAUGAAGUGGUACACCAAUAUGACAUGGUGGAAAUGCUUGAUGACUAUAAUGAAGAACAAGGUGUGUCCGUUGUUCCUCUUGUUAAGGUUGCUGGUUUGAAGACAGUUUUUCGUAGGCAUAUGGAUCCCAAAGAAAUUAGGAAGAUUCCAAAAGAGGAGAUGUUUCGCUUCUCUCAUCAGGUCCCAGAUCAUCUGCUUACUGGUGAAGAAGCCCAUAAUUCUCCAAAGGGCUGUCGGGAGUUAGAUCCAGCAGCUACUCCUUUGGAACUUCUUUAGGUAAUUACUGAAGUUAAUGAGACACAAACGGUAGGAAAUUCUGGCAAAACUGAAGAAGAAAUGAUGCUGAAUUUUACAGGAACUAAAGUUGAUCAGGUGUUGCAUAAUGCCUCAGUAGCCAAGGAGGUUGAGGUGAUAGAAAGUGAUGAACAAGUCAAGGAUAAUAAAUAAGGUCUGGUAAAUAGGUGGCCGAGGAAGCCAUUGUUGUAGAUGAUUCUGAAAAGGCUGAGAAAUUAGCUUUUGGAAACUGCUCAAGAUAAUAUCAAUAUAGGUAAGGUUUUCUUGUUUCAUUUUCUUCUUCAAAGCUGAUCCAUACUGUAGAUGCUUUUUUGCACCAUAACUGCAUAUGCAGAUGAUGCAAAGUCAUUUAUUAUAUUUUAUUUUAUUUUAUUGUAUAUUAUUUUUAGAGUUUAGGAAUGGUGGAUUUGGGUAUAAAAUAACUCAUGCUUUACUUUGAUCAAGUGUGCUGGGACUGGCAGCAACCCAUAUAAUUGUACCAUUUAUGAUUGUGAAUUGUCACAAUUUCUUUCAUUUUUGGGUAUUUAGCAAUGAUUUAAGAUCAUUGUGUGAAAUGUAAAUGUUAAAACCCUACCGGGCAGGGAUUUAUUGUAACUGUGCAUCAGCUGCCAUGCAAAUAUUGUUUUGGUGCUUGCC
Molecule: unclassified non-coding RNA, 3431 nt
Filed under: Hevea brasiliensis (rubber tree)
Lineage: Eukaryota; Viridiplantae; Streptophyta; Magnoliopsida; Malpighiales; Euphorbiaceae
Source: RNAcentral